Molecule: transfer RNA, 72 nt
Filed under: uncultured Acetobacteraceae bacterium
Lineage: Bacteria; Pseudomonadati; Pseudomonadota; Alphaproteobacteria; Acetobacterales; Acetobacteraceae
Also listed under: 1 other name
Description: tRNA-Val-CAC
Rfam family: tRNA
About the family: Transfer RNA (tRNA) molecules are approximately 80 nucleotides in length.
Source: RNAcentral
GGGCGCGUAGCUCAGCGGGAGAGCAUUCGCUUCACACGCGAAGGGUCGCAGGUUCAAUCCCUGCCGCGCCCA